UACGUAGGGUGCAAGCGUUGUCCGGAAUUAUUGGGCGUAAAGAGCUCGUAGGCGGUCUGUCGCGUCGGCUGUGAAAACCCGGGGCUCAACCCCGGGCCUGCAGUCGAUACGGGCAGACUAGAGUGCGGUAGGGGAGACUGGAAUUCCUGGUGUAGCGGUGGAAUGCGCAGAUAUCAGGAGGAACACCGAUGGCGAAGGCAGGUCUCUGGGCCAUUACUGACACUGAGAAGCGAAAGCAUGGGGAGCGAACAGG
This 253-nucleotide ribosomal RNA is filed under the name uncultured bacterium. RNAcentral describes it as "partial 16S ribosomal RNA". It matches the Rfam family "Bacterial small subunit ribosomal RNA", at positions 524 to 776 of the family's 1533-position model. The record is from RNAcentral.